This 445-nucleotide ribosomal RNA is filed under the name uncultured bacterium. RNAcentral describes it as "bacterial SSU rRNA". It matches the Rfam family "Bacterial small subunit ribosomal RNA", at positions 339 to 796 of the family's 1533-position model. The record is from RNAcentral.
CUACGGGAGGCAGCAGUGGGGAAUAUUGGACAAUGGGCGAAAGCCUGAUCCAGCCAUGCCGCGUGAGUGAUGAAGGCCUUCGGGUUGUAAACCGCUUUCAGCAGGGAAGAAGCGCAAGUGACGGUACCUGCAGAAGAAGCACUGGCUAACUACGUGCCAGCAGCCGCGGUAAUACGUAGGGUGCGAGCGUUGUCCGGAAUUAUUGGGCGUAAAGAGCUUGUAGGCGGUUUGUCGCGUCUGCUGUGAAAAUCCGGGGCUCAACCCCGGACUUGCAGUGGGUACGGGCAAACUAGAGUGUGGUAGGGGAGACUGGAAUUCCUGGUGUAGCGGUGAAAUGCGCAGAUAUCAGGAGGAACACCAAUGGCGAAGGCAGGUCUCUGGGCCACUACUGACGCUGAGGCGCGAAAGCGUGGGGAGCAAACCGGAUUAGAAACCCGAGUAGUCC